CAGUCGCCGCGGGAAAACCAGCAGCCCAAGUGGUGGUCGCGCUUAUUGGGCCUAAAGCGCUCGUAGCCUGGCCGGUAAGUUCCCCGUGAAAUCGGGUCGCCCAACGAUUCGGCUUGCGGGGAAUACUGUCGGUCUUGGGGCCGGGAGACGCCGAGGGUACUCCGGGGGUAGCGGUGAAAUGCUGUAAUCCUCGGGGGACUACCAGUGGCGAAGGCGCUCGGCGAUAACGGGCCUGACGGUGAGGGGCGAAAGCUGGGGGCGCGAACGGGAUUAGAUACCCGAGUAGUCCCUGUCUCUUAUA
RNAcentral lists this ribosomal RNA (301 nucleotides) under uncultured bacterium. RNAcentral describes it as "partial 16S ribosomal RNA". It matches the Rfam family "Archaeal small subunit ribosomal RNA", at positions 459 to 759 of the family's 1478-position model. The record is from RNAcentral.